RNAcentral lists this ribosomal RNA (460 nucleotides) under uncultured bacterium. RNAcentral describes it as "partial 16S ribosomal RNA". It matches the Rfam family "Bacterial small subunit ribosomal RNA", at positions 338 to 795 of the family's 1533-position model. The record is from RNAcentral.
CCUACGUGAGACAGCAGUGAGGAAUAUUGGUCAAUGGACGCACGUCUGAACCAGCCAUGCCGCGUGCAGGAAGCCGGCUCUAUGAGUUGUAAACUGCUUUUGUACGAGGGUAAACGCAGAUACGCGUAUCUGUCUGAAAGUAUCGUACGAAUAAGGAUCGGCUAACUCCGUGCCAGCAGCCUCGGUAAUACGGAGGAUUCAAGCGUUAUCCGGAUUUAUUGGGUUUAAAGGGGGCGUAGGCGGUCGGAUAAGUUAGAGGUGAAAUCCCGAGGCUCAACUUCGGAAUUGCCUCGGAUACUGUUCGGCUAGAGAGUAGUUGCGGUAGGCGGAAUGUAUGGUGUAGCGGUGAAAUGCUUAGAGAUCAUACAGAACACCGAUUGCGAAGGCAGCUUACCAAGCUACUUCUGACGUUGAGGCACGAAAGCGUGGGGAGCAAACAGGAUUAGAUACCCGUGUAGUC